AAUAAGUGUAAUUUUGCACUAUUUACGUUCAACGUUUGAUCGUUCGUCUUAUUUGAAAAUUUUUUAUGAUUAGUAUUUUUAUUGCUAUUAGAUGAUAAAACAUGAAUAAUACUUUUUAUAUAUAUGUGACUAAAUAUUUUCAAUUUUUUCACAAAUUUUUAAAUAAGACGGACGGUCAAAUGUUGGGCACGGAUAUCCACAGCUGUACUUAUU
Molecule: non-coding RNA, 213 nt
Organism: Oryza nivara
Lineage: Eukaryota; Viridiplantae; Streptophyta; Magnoliopsida; Poales; Poaceae
Source: Rfam